CUACCCGGGUACCCAGCUCCACUCGCAUGUGGCUGCCGGGCAAUAAAAAUGGACACACAGCAGAAACAACAUGGCGCUGGCAGAAGGCAACGGUCCGGGACACCGGCACAGAAGCACUCGCCAAUGUACGGGCAACCUGAUGCCGGCGCCUUCCCCCCUCCCACGCCUCAGGCCUCACCGGACACUGGACUAGGAAUAACAGCAUUUAUUCUUCCUUCUGGUUGUACUCUUUGUGUCUUAACUAUUUAUGAGGUCGAGUUGUUUGUGCAGUUUGAUUAUUUUGCUGGCAGGGCGGUAGGCGGAGCACCGGCGACCUGUGCCUCUUCAUAAUUCAACGGUCGGGCUGACAAUCCGGCCAGACGGAGUGCACACACAUUCAGAGGAACGCGCCGUUCAAGUGAGAUCGCAGUGAGCGCCCACGCAACGAGUUUUGUGCAGCGUGUAGGGGAUCACUCGAUGGGCUGUACACACGCAGUGAGUAGUGAAUAUUAAUGUACUAGCAGUGUAAAUAGAUAUGUAUACUCUUGAUUUGCAGCCACAGCUGAUUUGUUAUGGUUUUAAAAAGAACUUAAUGAAAAUCAAAGUAAAGGCCGAUCGGCCCUGUGCCCUGCGGGUCCUAUAUACCCUACAGACUCGCUACAGACUGUGCUUGGGAUCCGCUCGCUACUUUGGCCUAGAAUGGCUGGAGCAUUUCUUGUGGAUUCACAGUCAACGUUCAACGUACUGCAACAUGCAGCAGCCACCAUGAGUUGUAUUGCAUAGCUAAUCACAUCACUUACAGUUCCACACAUUAUAUUAGUGAAUGCUUUGUGUGAAUGUGUCUGACGUCUGCCUAAGUCUGAUGAACGUGAUUAUAUAGUGGAAAGAAUUAUUUGGCCCAGCCAUCUUAUGUGCAUAUUUACGUACACACUUAUAUAGGGAAUUCUUUACACUUUUGAAGGCUCUACGGAGAGAUGCAACUCAUAUACACACAUAUCUGCGACCUUUCCAGUCGCCUUCUCGUGCAGCUGCUAUCCACUACCUGCUCUGGGUAGGGGCCUUCCAAAGCUACAGGCAAACAAUUGCUGCAUUCCAGAAGUCACCGCUAAAACGCCGCAACGCUACAGGACCUGAGCGCUCCCAGUCGUUGCUUCGCUUCUACAAGCAGCACCAACGGCGACGCUACAUCUUGGAACACUUUCAGCGUUCCCUUCCAUUCGGUAUAGUACACUCCUUCACGUCUCUCAAUAUAUAUGGUAUGUUAUACUCGUGUCUUAAUGGAAAGGCGUACUUACAUAUUUGAUAGGUAUCAGUAUGUUUCUGAUGUGUACACUUUAUAACAACUCUCAUGUGUUCCAGGUUCCACGUGAAAAUCCCUACACAGUUUAAUCAGCUGCUAGGCACUGCAUAUUAAUAUUUAUGAGUAAUAUUGACGAAACAAUUCAGAAGUGACUGAUUUCUCAUCCGUGGGGCUGCCUUGACAGCGAUCUUAGUGAGAAUUGUUGACUUCUAGCGACUCAGCGACUUCUACUCUGAGCGCUUCUCGUCGGUGCGUUAAGCACCUGGUGGUCUCGCUACAUAUAUUGGUCUUCUCGACGGUCCAAUUAAAACACGGCAGGAGAACAACUACGAACUACGGUUGAACAUGGAAACGGCUAUUAGUUCGUUCAGCUUCGUAAGGGACUUCUCAGGGUUGCGCUCGCAAAUACAUUGGAACCAAACACGCUCAUCGUUUCACCAUCCAUAUUUAAAGCUCUACGGAUGGAACAACUCAGAGGGGAUAAAUGCACGUAUCAGCUACCAGUCUUCCAGCUAUAUAUGCUGUUAGUCUGUAACCGCUCCAUAAAGGGUCUGGCAUACCCAACAGACUUCGGAUCCUCUCGUUACGUAGACUACUGACUCGCUAUGCCGGUUAGCUGCACAGGCCAGGGGGGUGUCCUUUAAGCAUCAAGAGAAACGUGAGGCUACAGGAAUCUUCGCAUAGAUCGCAUACAGUCCAUCUGUAUCGAUGUCGCUUUCCUAGCUAUAGGCGAUCUCUGCAAUCUCUGAAUUGCUCAAUCUAAACGAAAUUUCCGAACACGAAAUAAAGGAAUAACCGAUUCCGGCUCCUCCCAGAGGACAUAGCAAUUAGCAUCGGCCUCCAGGAACUGCUUCUGCUCAGCGAGAUCCGAUUGUAGGUUCUUCUUCUAUCUCCUCUGCCUCUCCUUGCUCCACUGAAUACUGAUCAUCCUGUGCAGACGGACCUGGAAUUCGAGGGAACACUCUUAAAAGAAGAUCGAAACUCCUUCCUAAGUUGUGGCUUGGAAGGGACUGGAACAGGGUAUAAAUGACGUCAAAUGGAACAUUGUCAUUUGGUGCAUAGUGAGGACUUAAGUGCAAUUGCAGACACACACACAUCCGGAUGUAUCGAAGGAAUGGCAGUUCAUUGUGGCUGCUAGAAGAUGUUGGAUAUCAACGACGAAAGACAAGUAUCUAAGGGGUCAACGCGAGGAAGGGAAUACGCCUCAGGGCGGUUGAUGGGACUCUUACGGAACAUACUAUAUAACUCUUAAACGAAAAGCAGUCGUAAUUAAACUUAUACUUAAACGA
RNAcentral lists this small RNA (2568 nucleotides) under Drosophila pseudoobscura pseudoobscura. RNAcentral describes it as "GA30710". The record is from RNAcentral. Lineage: Eukaryota; Metazoa; Arthropoda; Insecta; Diptera; Drosophilidae.